GACGAACGCUGGCGGCGUGCUUAACACAUGCAAGUCGAGCGGAGCGGCGAACGGGUGAGUAAAGCGUGAGGAACUGCCCCGGUCUCUGGGAUAACAGUUGGAAACGGGUGAGAAUAACGGGUAGUGGGGGAUGACUCGCGUCCUAUCAGCUUGUUGGUGGGGUAGUGGCCUACCAGGGCGACGACGGGUAGCAGGCCUGAGAGGGCGACCGGCCACAUUGGGCUGAGAUACGGCCCAACCCCCUCCGGGAGGCAGCAGUGGCGACUUUUGCACAAUGCGGGACACCCUUGUGCAGCAACGCCGCGUGCGUGAUGCCGGCCUUCGUGUUCUAAGCCGCUUUCUGCCAUGACGCGGUAUUGGUAGAAGCAGCACCCGCUAACUACGUGCCAGCAGCCGCGGUAAUUC
Molecule: ribosomal RNA, 405 nt
Filed under: uncultured bacterium
Lineage: Bacteria
Description: partial 16S ribosomal RNA
Rfam family: Bacterial small subunit ribosomal RNA
Source: RNAcentral